UUUUCAGUUCACAAAAAUUACAGAUCACACUUGUUUACAUUAUUGAAUUAAUAUACUCCUUAAUCAUCCACGAUCUUUAGAUCAUACAGCAUCAAGACAAAAAUUUUAAUAAAAAAAUGAUUCAAGAAACCUUUGACUUUCUACCAAAAUCAUGAAAUUGAGAUCAAUACAGAGAUACCCAUUUGAGUUUUGGUGUUUAUGAUGGAGAAAAAAGCAAUCUUGGUGUUUUUGGUGCUGACAUUGAGUUUAAUCAAUGGUCAAGAACCAGAAAAGAUUGAUACCCAAAAGGCUCCAUGGAGGAUCCACACUUUGUUUUCUGUAGAGUGUCAGAAUUACUUCGAUUGGCAAACGGUUGGACUUAUGCAUAGUUACAGGAAGGCUCAGCAACCUGGGCCUAUUACAAGAUUGUUGAGCUGUACUGAAGAUGAGAGGAAGGGUUAUAGAGGGAUGGAGUUGGCUCCUACUUUUGAGGUUCCUUCUAUGAGUAGACAUCCUAAAACUAGUGACUGGUAUCCUGCAAUUAACAAACCAGCUGGAGUUGUUCACUGGCUUAAAUACAGCAAAGAGGCAGAAAAUGUUGAUUGGGUUGUCAUAUUGGACGCAGACAUGAUCAUUCGAGGUCCGAUUGUACCAUGGGAGAUUGGGGCAGAGAAAGGAAGGCCUGUUUCUGCGUAUUAUGGGUAUUUAAUUGGAUGCGAUAAUAUUCUUGCAAAGCUGCAUACAAAGCAUCCUGAACUUUGUGACAAGGUUGGUGGGCUAUUAGCCAUGCAUAUAGAUGAUCUUCGAGCUUUGGCACCCCUAUGGCUUUCAAAGACUGAAGAAGUACGGGAAGACAGAGCUCACUGGCCAACCAACUAUACUGGUGAUAUCUACGGAACAGGGUGGAUCAGUGAGAUGUAUGGAUAUUCAUUUGGUGCUGCCGAGGUAGGACUCCGGCAUAAGAUCAACGAUAACUUGAUGAUAUACCCUGGCUAUACUCCACGAGAGGGUGUUGAACCUAUUCUUAUGCAUUAUGGCUUACCUUUUAAUGUUGGAAACUGGUCAUUCAGUAAACUAGACCAUCAUGAAGAUGACAUUGUCUAUGAUUGCAGCCGGCUCUUCCCUGAACCUCCUUAUCCCCGAGAGAUAACACAGAUGGAAUCUGAUCAUCACAAAAGGAGGGCAUUGUUUCUGAAUAUCGAGUGCAUUAAUACCAUGAAUGAGGGCCUUUUAUUACAGCAUGCUGCCUUUAAAUGCCCUAAGCCAAAGUGGUCAAAGUAUCUUAGUUUCCUAAAGAGUAAAACAUUCGCUGAACUAAGUCGGCCAAAACGUUUGACUGCCCAAAGUCGACAGAUGAUGGAGGUUGAAAUUCAUAAAGAAGUUGAUAAUGAGCCUGAAAAGCCACACCCAAAAGUUGAGGUUAAAAUUCAUAAAGAAGUUGAUAAUGAGCCUGAAAAGCCACACCCAAAAAUCCAUACCAUUUUCUCUACAGAAUGCUCGUCUUACUUUGAUUGGCAAACAGUGGGGCUUGUCCACAGUUUUUACAAGAGUGGUCAGCCAGGGAACAUCACAAGGCUUCUAAGCUGUACCGAUGAAGAUUUAAAGCAAUACAAAGGCCAUGAUCUAGCUCCCACCCACUAUGUACCGUCCAUGAGCCGACAUCCAUUAACUGGAGAUUGGUAUCCAGCAAUCAACAAACCGGCUGCAGUUCUUCAUUGGAUGAAUCAUGUGAAAACGGAUGCUGAGUACAUUGUGAUUCUUGAUGCUGACAUGAUCAUGAGAGGACCAAUAACACCAUGGGAAUUCAAUGCAGGCCGCAGCCGACCUGCUUCAACUCCUUAUGACUACCUUAUCGGCUGUGACAACAUACUGGCAAAGCUCCACACUCGCCAUCCUGAAGCUUGUGACAAGGUUGGGGGAGUAAUCAUUAUGCAUGUAGAUGAUCUACGGAAAUUUGCGCUGCAGUGGCUGCACAAAACCAUGGAGGUCCGACUUGAUAGAUCUCAUUGGUCCAAGAACAUAACAGGAGAUAUCUAUGAAUCUGGAUGGAUUAGUGAGAUGUAUGGUUACUCAUUUGGUGCUGCAGAGUUGAAUCUGCGGCAUGUCAUAAGUGACGAGAUUCUGAUAUACCCAGGAUAUGUUCCUAAGCCCGGUGUUAAUUAUAGAGUCUUCCACUAUGGCUUGGAAUAUAGGGUUGGUAACUGGAGUUUUGACAAAGCAAACUGGAGACACGCCGACGUGGUUAACAAAUGUUGGGCUAAGUUUCCUGAUCCUCCUGAUCCAUCAUCACUUGAUCAAACUGACAACAAUUCCCUACAGCGCGACUUGCUUAGCAUAGAAUGUGCAACAACGUUGAAUGAAGCUCUUCGGUUACACCACGAGAGGAGAAAAUGUCCAGAUCCUAACACUAUUUCCACGCCCAAACGUGAAAGAGUAAAUCAGGACAGAGUCGAUGAAACUAGAACCAAUGCUGAAACUAGAACCCGUGCUGAAACUAGAACCGAUGCUGAAACUAGAACCAGUGCUGAAACUAGAACCGAUGCUGAAACUAGAACCAAUGCUGAAACUAGAACCAAUGCUGAAGCUAGAAUGGCUGUUGAAACUACAACUUCAACGAAGUUUGGAAACGUUGACGACAUUCAGGCCUUGAGGCACGAUGAAAUGCCCAAAAAUAGUUCUCAGGAAUCCUCCCAAGUUGAAACGUCAAACGGAACAUUCACUUCCAUGAGAUUUUGGAUCAUGGUUUUGUGGGCAGUGUCAAUCUUCGGCUUCUUAGGUGUCAUGUCCGUCAUGCUUAGAGGGCGUAAGGGAUUGAAAAAAAGAGUUAAAGGUUACAAGUCUAAGAGAAGAACUACAUAUUCCGGUUUCUGGGAUACAAAUGGACAGGACAGACAUCUACGCAACGCUGAAACAGCAUAGAAAGCUCUGUUCUUGGCACAACUUCAAAGUUCUUUGCACAUCAAACAUGGUCAUUCGCGCCAAGGUCCCUGUAAAUUAAUUAUUUAAG
Solanum verrucosum is the source of this 2986-nucleotide RNA transcript. It is a transcript of the gene named peptidyl serine alpha-galactosyltransferase, with no coding region annotated. The record is from RefSeq and is a predicted model, not a curated record. Lineage: Eukaryota; Viridiplantae; Streptophyta; Magnoliopsida; Solanales; Solanaceae. The transcript has 9 exons.